RNAcentral lists this small RNA (699 nucleotides) under Pan troglodytes (chimpanzee). RNAcentral describes it as "processed transcript". Lineage: Eukaryota; Metazoa; Chordata; Mammalia; Primates; Hominidae. The record is from RNAcentral.
GCCUACUGGUGACUCGGCUGCAGGUGAGCGAGCUCAGGGACCUCUGGGUUCACGGGGGCGGGGUGUCUCCUACUGUGCCGGCGGCUGUGGGCGAGGCAGGGCGAGGCGGGCCCAACCUGGGGCCAACUUCUCGUGUACCUGUCCCGGUUGUGGGCCCGGCACCCGUGCCCGCUUCUCUGGUGCCCUAGGUCAAGGCGUCCCCGGCACAGUCAGCUUUCCUGGCCCUGUCCCUGCCUCGCAAGAAGCGUGGGCCCAAGCAGCGGCGGCCGGGUGAAGAGCGGAGGCACCUCUUUCUUCUUUUUGAGGACAGCAUUGCCUGCUCCCGUGGGGUGUGUUUCCAUUCCUCAAGACUGAACCGGCCGCUGACCCUCUCGGAGAAGAUAGUGUAUGGACACCUGGAUGACCCCGCCAGCCAGGAAAUCGAGCGGGGCAAGUCGUACCUGCGGCUGCGGCCGGACCGUGUGGCCAUGCAGGAUGCGACGGCCCAGAUGGCCAUGCUCCAGUUCAUCAGCAGCGGGCUGUCCAAGGUGGCUGUGCCAUCCACCAUCCACUGUGACCAUCUGAUUGAAGCCCAGGUUGGGGGCGAGAAAGACCUGCGCCGGGCCAAGGACAUCAACCAGGAAGUUUAUAAUUUCCUGGCAACUGCAGGUGCCAAAUAUGGCGUGGGCUUCUGGAAGCCUGGAUCUGGAAUCAUUCACC